AGUGAACGCUGGCGGUAGGCCUAACACAUGCAAGUCGAACGGCAGCACAGGAGAGCUUGCUCUCUGGGUGGCGAGUGGCGGACGGGUGAGGAAUACAUCGGAAUCUACUCUGUCGUGGGGGAUAACGUAGGGAAACUUACGCUAAUACCGCAUACGACCUACGGGUGAAAGCAGGGGACCUUCGGGCCUUGCGCGAUUGAAUGAGCCGAUGUCGGAUUAGCUAGUUGGCGGGGUAAAGGCCCACCAAGGCGACGAUCCGGAGCUGGUCUGAGGGGAUGAUCAGCCACACUGGAAAUGAGACACGGUCCAGACUCCUACGGGAGGCAGCAGUGGGGAAUAUUGGACAAUGGGCGCAAGCCUGAUCCAGCCAUACCGCGUGGGUGAAGAAGGCCUUCGGGUUGUAAAGCCCUUUUGUUGGGAAAGAAAUCCAGCUGGCUAAUACCCGGUUGGGAUGACGGUACCCAAAGAAUAAGCACCGGCUAACUUCGUGCCAGCAGCCGCAGUAA
RNAcentral lists this ribosomal RNA (506 nucleotides) under uncultured bacterium. RNAcentral describes it as "partial 16S ribosomal RNA". It matches the Rfam family "Bacterial small subunit ribosomal RNA", at positions 29 to 523 of the family's 1533-position model. The record is from RNAcentral.